RNAcentral lists this ribosomal RNA (497 nucleotides) under uncultured bacterium. Its description in RNAcentral is "partial 16S ribosomal RNA". It matches the Rfam family "Bacterial small subunit ribosomal RNA", at positions 28 to 507 of the family's 1533-position model. The record is from RNAcentral.
GAUGAACGCUGGCGGCGUGCCUAAUACAUGCAAGUCGAGCGAACAGACGGGGAGCUUGCUCCUCUGACGUUAGCGGCGGACGGGUGAGUAACACGUGGAUAACCUACCUAUAAGACUGGGAUAACUUCGGGAAACCGGAGCUAAUACCGGAUAAUAUAUUGAACCGCAUGGUUCAAUAGUGAAAGACGGUUUUGCUGUCACUUAUAGAUGGAUCCGCGCCGCAUUAGCUAGUUGGUAAGGUAACGGCUUACCAAGGCGACGAUGCGUAGCCGACCUGAGAGGGUGAUCGGCCACACUGGAACUGAGACACGGUCCAGACUCCUACGGGAGGCAGCAGUAGGGAAUCUUCCGCAAUGGGCGAAAGCCUGACGGAGCAACGCCGCGUGAGUGAUGAAGGUCUUCGGAUCGUAAAACUCUGUUAUUAGGGAAGAACAAAUGUGUAAGUAACUGUGCACGUCUUGACGGUACCUAAUCAGAAAGCCACGGCUAACUACGUG